ACACACGACUCUCGGCAACGGAUAUCUCGGCUCUCGCAUCGAUGAAGAACGUAGCAAAAUGCGAUACCUGGUGUGAAUUGCAGAAUCCCGCGAACCAUCGAGUUUUUGAACGCAAGUUGCGCCCGAGGCCUUCUGGCCGAGGGCACGCCUGCCUGGGCGUCACGC
This 165-nucleotide ribosomal RNA is filed under the name Phragmites australis (common reed). RNAcentral's name for it is "5.8S ribosomal RNA". It matches the Rfam family "5.8S ribosomal RNA". Rfam says of the family: 5.8S ribosomal RNA (5.8S rRNA) is a component of the large subunit of the eukaryotic ribosome. It is transcribed by RNA polymerase I as part of the 45S precursor that also contains 18S and 28S rRNA. The record is from RNAcentral. Lineage: Eukaryota; Viridiplantae; Streptophyta; Magnoliopsida; Poales; Poaceae.